Molecule: ribosomal RNA, 553 nt
Filed under: Millerozyma farinosa
Lineage: Eukaryota; Fungi; Ascomycota; Pichiomycetes; Serinales; Debaryomycetaceae
Description: LSU rRNA
Rfam family: Eukaryotic large subunit ribosomal RNA
Source: RNAcentral
CGAGACUACAGGGAUUGCCUUAGUAACGGCGAGUGAAGCGGCAAAAGCUCAAAUUUGAAAUCUGGCGUCUUCGGCGUCCGAGUUGUAAUUUGAAGAAGGCUACUUUGGAGCUGGAGUUUGUCUAAGUUCCUUGGAACAGGACGUCACAGAGGGUGAGAAUCCCGUGAGAUAAGCUUCCCAGUUCUAUGUAAAGUGCUUUCGAAGAGUCGAGUUGUUUGGGAAUGCAGCUCUAAGUGGGUGGUAAAUUCCAUCUAAAGCUAAAUAUUGGCGAGAGACCGAUAGCGAACAAGUACAGUGAUGGAAAGAUGAAAAGAACUUUGAAAAGAGAGUGAAAAAGUACGUGAAAUUGUUGAAAGGGAAGGGCUUGAGAUCAGACAUGGUAUUUUGUAAACCUUCUCUCUCGUGGAGGGGGCCCCUUGCAGUUUACUGGGCCAGCAUCAGUUUGGGCGGUAGGAUAAUGACUAAGGAAUGUGACUUGCCUUCGGGGAAGUGUUAUAGCCUUGGUUGAUACUGCCAGCCUAGACUGAGGACCGCGUCUUGACAAGGAUUUGGC